CAGUAGCCGCGGGAAUACGAAGGGGGCUAGCGUUGUUCGGAUUUACUGGGCGUAAAGCGCACGUAGGCGGACUUUUAAGUCAGGGGUGAAAUCCCGGGGCUCAACCCCGGAACUGCCUUUGAUACUGGAAGUCUUGAGUAUGGUAGAGGUGAGUGGAAUUCCGAGUGUAGAGGUGAAAUUCGUAGAUAUUCGGAGGAACACCAGUGGCGAAGGCGGCUCACUGGACCAUUACUGACGCUGAGGUGCGAAAGCGUGGGGAGCAAACAGGAUUAGAGACCCGCGUAGUCCCUGUCUCUUAUAC
RNAcentral lists this ribosomal RNA (301 nucleotides) under uncultured bacterium. RNAcentral's name for it is "partial 16S ribosomal RNA". It matches the Rfam family "Bacterial small subunit ribosomal RNA", at positions 509 to 807 of the family's 1533-position model. The record is from RNAcentral.